Molecule: ribosomal RNA, 358 nt
Filed under: uncultured bacterium
Lineage: Bacteria
Description: partial 16S ribosomal RNA
Rfam family: Bacterial small subunit ribosomal RNA
Source: RNAcentral
CCUACGGGAGGCUGCAGUGAGGAAUAUUGGUCAAUGGGCGGAAGCCUGAACCAGCCAAGUCGCGUGAGGGACUAAGGCUCUACGGGUCGUAAACCUCUUUUGCCGGGGAUCAGUGCCCAGCUCGCGAGCUGGGAGGGAGCGUACCCGGAGAAAAAGCAUCGGCUAACUCCGUGCCAGCAGCCGGGGUAAUACGGAGGAUGCGAGCGUUUUCCGGAUUUAUUGGGUUUAAAGGGUGCGUAGGCGGGCCUUCAGACCGGCGGUAAAAUCGCGGGGCGCAACCCCGCCGAGCCGGCGGAACCGGGGGCCGUGAGGAGCGGAGAAGUACGCGGAGUGAGUGGUGUAGCGGUGAAAUGCAUAG